RNAcentral lists this ribosomal RNA (114 nucleotides) under Neotoma lepida (desert woodrat). The record is from RNAcentral. Lineage: Eukaryota; Metazoa; Chordata; Mammalia; Rodentia; Cricetidae.
GUCUAUGACCACACCACUCUGAACUAACACAAUCUCAUCUGAUCUUGGAGGCUAAGCAGGGCCAGGCCUACUUAGUACUUAGAUGGGGGAAUCAUAGCAGAUAAGUCAUAAAGC